CGUGGCUUCCGGAGCUAACGCGUUAAAUCGACCGCCUGGGGAGUACGGCCGCAAGGUUAAAACUCAAAUGAAUUGACGGGGGCCCGCACAAGCGGUGGAGCAUGUGGUUUAAUUCGAUGCAACGCGAAGAACCUUACCUACUCUUGACAUCCAGAGAACUUAGCAGAGAUGGAUUGGUGCCUUCGGGAACUCUGAGACAGGUGCUGCAUGGCUGUCGUCAGCUCGUGUUGUGAAAUGUUGGGUUAAGUCCCGCAACGAGCGCAACCCUUAUCCUUUGUUGCCAGCGGUUCGGCCGGGAACUCAAAGGAGACUGCCAGUGAUAAACUGGAGGAAGGUGGGGAUGACGUCAAGUCAUCAUGGCCCUUACGAGUAGGGCUACACACGUGCUACAAUGGCGUAUACAAAGAGAAGCGACCUCGCGAGAGCAAGCGGACCUCAUAAAGUACGUCGUAGUCCGGAUUGGAGUCUGCAACUCGACUCCAUGAAGUCGGAAUCGCUAGUAAUCGUAGAUCAGAAUGCUACGGUGAAUACGUUCCCGGGCCUUGUACACACCGCCCGUCACACCAUGGGAGUGGGUGCAAAAGAAGUAGGUAGCUUAAC
This 600-nucleotide ribosomal RNA is filed under the name Serratia marcescens. Its description in RNAcentral is "bacterial SSU rRNA". It matches the Rfam family "Bacterial small subunit ribosomal RNA", at positions 838 to 1439 of the family's 1533-position model. The record is from RNAcentral. Lineage: Bacteria; Pseudomonadati; Pseudomonadota; Gammaproteobacteria; Enterobacterales; Yersiniaceae.